RNAcentral lists this small RNA (863 nucleotides) under Pongo abelii (Sumatran orangutan). RNAcentral's name for it is "retained intron". Lineage: Eukaryota; Metazoa; Chordata; Mammalia; Primates; Hominidae. The record is from RNAcentral.
GGAAUGGGUGACGUUGUCAACAUCUGGGCAGGGCAGGGCAAGGCCAGCCCACCCUCCCUUGAACAGCCCUACCUCACCCACCGGCUCUCAGGCCCUGUGCAUGGCCUUCAGUUCUGCCCCUUUGAAGAUGUGCUGGGGGUGGGGCACACUGGGGGCAUCACCAGCAUGCUGGUCCCUGGGGCCGGUGAGCCCAACUUCGAUGGCCUGGAGAGUAAUCCAUACAGAAGCCGGAAGCAGCGCCAGGAGUGGGAGGUGAAGGCCCUGCUAGAGAAGGUACCUGCAGAGCUUAUUUGUCUGGACCCACGAGCCCUGGCCGAGGUGGAUGUCAUCUCCCUGGAGCAGGGAAAGAAGGAGCAGAUAGAGAGGCUGGGCUAUGACCCGCAGGCUAAGGCUCCCUUCCAGCCAAAGCCAAAGCAGAAGGGCCGCAGCUCCACGGCAAGCCUGGUGAAGAGGAAGAGGAAGGUCAUGGAUGAGGAACACAGGGUAAAUGGGCCUUCCCAGGCUGCACCCUCCUGCUUGUGCCUCUGCCCUUGUCAGCCUGCCACUUCUCACUCUGUGCCUGUGUCCUCCCCCUCUCUGGUCCCCAGGACAAGGUCCGGCAGAGCCUUCAGCAGCAGCAUCAUAAGGAAGCGAAGGAAGCGAAGGCCAAGCCCACGGGGGCCCGGCCAUCUGCCCUGGACAGAUUUGUGCGCUGAGCCAGACUCCAGGGUUGCCUGGGAACAGUCUCUCCCCAAGAUCACCUGUAGGGAAAUGAGUGUUCCCUGGAACAAGGAGGUGGGGGCAGUGUGGCCCCUUCCCCAACUGGGGGUGGACAGCUGUCUCUUGGGGUGGGUUGGUAUUAAAGAGGAAAGCGAUUUUUUGGA